Long non-coding RNA from Leptopilina heterotoma, 938 nucleotides. RefSeq lists it as uncharacterized. The transcript is spliced from 5 exons. Lineage: Eukaryota; Metazoa; Arthropoda; Insecta; Hymenoptera; Figitidae. The record is from RefSeq and is a predicted model, not a curated record.
UUUCGAUUCCCAAUCGCAAUUGCAAAUAGUGCAGGGACUCGGAGGGAUUAUUUGAUUAUUUCUUGGAGAAUCUGUCAGACAAGUACACGAAUCGUCGUUCGCCAUUCAGCCAUCUGUGAGAAUAAAACGGAAAUAUCGAUGUUGCAAGUUGCAAAGUAAACGCAGUGAAUGCCUUCGGAUCUAAAAAUGGAAUAAGCGGCCACAUUGCCUCAAUGAGAAUUCUUCCCAUGUCGUCAAAUUUUUCAUUUCCCUUCUCGAAAAGUGGAAUAAAAACUUCGUUUAGAAGUAGUCGGCAGAGAAUUCGACAUUCCUCAACAGUUCCAGUGCAAAGAUUAUAUCUAAAAGGGGAUCCUUCUCGUACCAAAUGAAAGUGUGAAGAAUCGUUGAAAAAUAUCGUCGAAAAGCUGCGCACGGCGUGCCACUUUGUUUAGUAAAUAUGAGAAUAUCUAAAAUCGAUGGUAUUGCCAAUAAUGUCAAUAGUCCCGAGAGUUUAGCUAUCAUCAUCGUGAAGAGAUUAUUGUGAAAGCAAAUUUGGGCAAAUUUGAAUUUCUUCGCAUCAUAAUAAGGAGGUCCACAAGAAGAAAGCGAUCCACCCAUUUUGUCGACUAAUUUGUGAGCAGUCAUGCAAAAAAAAAAGAAGAAGAAGAAGAUGAAGAGAACUUAUUACUCAGGUGCAAAAUGCCGAAAGUGAGUCGAGGUCGUACAGUUUCUACUCAUGUACUUUCAUUAGAAUUAUUGUGGUAUUAGAUUCCACAGUUGCAUUAUACAAUUACAGGAUAACAUUCCAAGGAUAUUUAUUUAAAUUAAGCCAAUUUUAACCUUCAGCUUUUAGAGUCAAUUAAUUUCUCUAUAUAUACAAAAAAAGAUGAACAUACGAAUCUUCAAGGUUUGCUAAAUGUUGAAAUAAAAAUUCAAAAAAAAAAAAAAGAUUUGCAGUU